UCUGCGCUGUUUUAGACUGUAGGCAAAUGCUAAAAUUGCCAAAACAAGGGGCUAAUUGGAAUAGCGUUGGCCACAGCGAUGACAGAAGGACAACAGAUUACUGGAGCCAAGUGGAUAUUCUCUAAUACGGAUUAUGACCAUAAAACACCGAAGCCACCAAAGAUUGAAAUCCUGCGAAACAAUUUUCUGAAGAAAUGAAGGAGCGUGGCCUCCUGAACCCCGGAGGAAAAUAACCCUGCGGUGCGAGGCGGAAUAUGAAACAGAGGCGCCAGAAUAAGUAAAAUAGACAAGUGCACCAGGCUUGUCACUUUUCCAUUUGCUGCCCCCGAGUGAGAGCAACUUGAAAUUCUCCUCAUCUCAGAUAAGACCUUCAUCGUUAUGCUCUAUCUACUGUACUGAAUACGAAAAAAGUACCACAUCAGGCAGAGGAUUCUCCAAAUUGGUCCUAUCGAAUGUGACAGGAGGAAGAGCAUUAAGCAUCUGACAAGAUGAUAUCUAAGUUCAAUUUCCUACUCCUCACCUGAUUUAUACCUGCAGCAGAUCAUUUUCUUUUCUGUCAUAAAGACCUCUAUAAAUCAGUGGUGCUUAUGGAAGCACUAGAGAACAAGGAAUGAGCAAGAGGUCCAGCAAGCUGUUGUGAGAAACUUGUGAAAGAAUGCAGAAGACACGUUUGACCCAUGUCUUGCAAUUUAAAAGGCAAUACCACCAAAUCCAUAAAGUGUCUUAUUCAAGGACAAACCGUGCAAUUCAAAAGUGAGGAAGGACAAGCUAUAUAAAGACAAAUGGUGUUGCCCAUCUCGUUGUGCGUCCAUGGUUCUGGGAAGGUGUAGGUUUGGGAGAGAGUGGGACAGCUGGAGCUGCAGGCGUUGGAAGAGACAGGGGGAAAAAAAAAAAAAAAAAAAAAGGGGAAGGAGCCUCCUCUCACUGUCGGGGCCUCCGCAGGUCAGUGCCUCUACCCAAAGGGACGGCAGAGCGAAACGCCAUCAAUUCACAAACAAAGGAGCCACUUCACCCACCACAAAGGAAACAUAUGUGAUAGAGCCGACUCCCGAGCCGCAGCUCACUUUAACAUGUCAGCCUCUCCUAAUUAGCUUUGUUAACUCCCUCUGCUGUCUGCCCAACUGAGGCCUCUUCCAGUCACACGGCUGCUUUGUGUUUACAAGGGCAAAUGUUUGGACCUGCUCCCGAAACAACACUGUAAGAUUUUUAAUCCUUCCUAAAACAAAACAUGCGCAGACCAUCACCUGAACAAUUAUCAUGUAACACACGGGCUCCGAUGAGUCGGUAUUGAUAUAUUGAUCACUAUUGUGCAAACAAGCAAAGCGUUUGUACGGUUUCACCGCAGAGAUUUACAUAGCCGUCUCUUCACCGCGUGUCUGAGACGAGUUGUGUUAGAUGAAAACAGCUGCUCCUCAAUCUUUAUCAGAAUGUUUUGGAGUCAUUACUGGCCAGCCUUCAGACUGUGGGCUGCCAUGCGUUACAUGUUGCAGUCCGCACUGGGCCUCAUGUGACCCCUGCUGCUUACCCACUGGCAGUGCAAUUUAACCAAGCUGAUGACAUGCAGCAUGACAUCCCUCAGAGAAGCGUCCCACUCACUGCCUCGUUUGGGGGAAUCAGAUGGAGAGGUGUGGGGGGGUAUGGGGGCACGGCAUGGUGGGGUGUGUGAACCUCUGGGUAACUGGCUGACCUCUCUGGCGAGAAAAUCAAAAUGCUCUUUGAUUUGAGAGAUAUGUGUUUGUUUUGUGUCAUUUUUUUCAAGCGUAUGGCUCAGGAAAAUUGAAGGAGGAUAAAUGUAAAAAUUUUCCAGCGUAAAAUUAAUUUGGCAUCUUCUAUACUCCAUAGAUUGUGAGUGAAUAUCAUUAUCAUAAGCCGA
Molecule: long non-coding RNA, 1873 nt
Organism: Poecilia latipinna (sailfin molly)
Lineage: Eukaryota; Metazoa; Chordata; Actinopteri; Cyprinodontiformes; Poeciliidae
Exons: 6
Source: RefSeq, a predicted model, not a curated record